Carica papaya (papaya) is the source of this 478-nucleotide non-coding RNA. Lineage: Eukaryota; Viridiplantae; Streptophyta; Magnoliopsida; Brassicales; Caricaceae. The record is from RefSeq and is a predicted model, not a curated record.
GUCCAAAUCUUGAGAAGAAACCUUAAAAAUGAGACUAUUCCUACUAACACCAACUCCAACCUAACUGACUUUGGAUACAUGGUUACAGAAGAAUUACAAUGUCAAGGUUCAACAUGUCUACCAGGAGGGAAAAUGAUGGAUUAGCUGAUCUUAUCUGGGAACUGAAUAAUCGCCUACUUGCUCUUUCAUUCCACAUCAGGGAGUAUUGUUGGAUUGAUUUGCGAAAACUAAAUGAGAUUUAUUGUUACAAGACUGAAAAUACUCAUAUGAUACGAUUAAUAAGUUCAACAUUUACCUAGAUCAAAUAUCUCCUUGGUAGGUGGAAUGGAUGCCUAAUAAAGGAGGUUAUCUAAUCAAAAACUUACAUCCAACACAUAUGGAUUUUUGAAUUUUUUCUCUAGGAAACAUGUGGUAUGUUGUAAGAAGUCUAGCAACAGCUGAUCAGUCACAUGCCAUACUGGAUCUUUUUAAAGCAAAA